UACGUAGGAUCCAAGCGUUGUCCGGAUUUACUGGGCGUAAAGCGUCCGCAGGUGGCUGUGUAAGUCUGCUGUCAAAGAGCGAAGCUCAACUUCGUAAAGGCAGUGGAAACUACAUGGCUAGAGUGCGUUCGGGGCAGAGGGAAUUCCUGGUGUAGCGGUGAAAUGCGUAGAUAUCAGGAAGAACACCGGUGGCGAAAGCGCUCUGCUAGGCCGCAACUGACACUGAGGGACGAAAGCUAGGGGAGCGAAUGGG
This 253-nucleotide ribosomal RNA is filed under the name uncultured bacterium. Its description in RNAcentral is "partial 16S ribosomal RNA". It matches the Rfam family "Bacterial small subunit ribosomal RNA", at positions 524 to 776 of the family's 1533-position model. The record is from RNAcentral.